Molecule: small RNA, 683 nt
Filed under: Histoplasma ohiense
Lineage: Eukaryota; Fungi; Ascomycota; Eurotiomycetes; Onygenales; Ajellomycetaceae
Description: hypothetical lncRNA
Source: RNAcentral
GUCCCUAUUUCCCCUGUCUUUUUUCUCAAUUCUCUUGUCUCAUGUAUGCCACUCCUGUCUCCUUCAUUUGAUCCCACUGUCAGCAUCACACAAACUGGCUGUGCUGCAUCUGAAACAGUUCUCAAUCUGAUGACUCUGUUCACUUACCAUCUUUCUUGAUGCAAUUUUAUUUCACUCUAUCAUUUAAUUUACUCUAAAAUCAUGCACAGACUGAGCUUCUCACUUGAAUAUCCAGUCUGUGAGGGACUUUGACUGUGUGACAUUUCCUGUUUUCUUUGAUUUCAUUUUCCUGCCUCAUACUCAAUCAGCUAUUCCUUUACAUCCUAUGAUUUGAUUCUGCACUGCCAUGCCUCCAGUGCCAUUGUGCGCUUUGUUGUUUCCAAUCACUUCCUUUCGCAAUUGACUGGCAAACUUUGUGUUGUUAGCACACUUGCGAUGCAUGCCGGUGAUGGGCGGGAUUGUGACCACUCGUUGAAGAUGGUAGACCAAGGGUAAAAAAUGCCCCACUACGCCUCAGAUAUUACACAUCAGGUCCUGUCUACAACAAGAGUGUAUGGUUUGAAAGGUUUGAUUAGAAUGAAUGUGGCCUUUGCGAGGCGUCGCGGGUACAUCUGAAGUGGAACAAUGAAGGGCGUGUGAUCUUGCUAUGAAUCAAGGAUGACGAGUGUAUGUGAUUGGGGGGG